Long non-coding RNA from Peromyscus maniculatus bairdii (prairie deer mouse), 511 nucleotides. RefSeq lists it as uncharacterized. The record is from RefSeq and is a predicted model, not a curated record. Lineage: Eukaryota; Metazoa; Chordata; Mammalia; Rodentia; Cricetidae.
CCUCACCUAGAACUGUGCUUUGCUAGGUCUCUCUCUUCUCCAGUCAAGUUAUGAUCAACUCUGUCAGUUGUUGCUGUCUAAGAAUGCCUUUAUUUUCACAGUAUAUCUAUGUGUUUGUGUGAGUGCAUGUCACUUGGUGCAUGUGUUUGCCAAGACCAAAGGAGGAUGUCAGAUUCCCUAGAGCUGGAGUUUCAGGCAAUUGUGAGCAACUGGAUUUGGCUGCUAGGAAUCAAACACGGACAUUCUGGAAAAAGAACAGUAAGCUGUGGUUUCCUUUGGAAAGUCUACAAUACUGCUGCUCUAAAAACUACCAAUAUGCCUGGAGACCAUACCAUCAGAGGAAGAAGUGGUUUCGAAGCCAGUGACUCCCCCAGGAAGGGGUCAUUUUUUUUUCCAAAUUUUGACUGCUUUCCAUGAGCAGCCUGUUAGUAUCUGGAGCCCUCAAGGAGUUGCUUUGUCAAGUUUUCUGUUCUAAUCAGCAGGAUAUAGAGAGAGUUAUUGGGAUUAGACA